ACUAAAUAGAUACCCGGGUAGUCCACGCUGUAAACGAUGAGUGCUAGAUGCCGGAUUUUUCGGUGUCGCAGCUAAACGCAUUAAGCACUCCACCUGGGAAGUACGAUCGCAAGGUUGAAACUCAAAGGAAUUGACGGGGGCCCGCACAAGCAGUGGAGCAUGUGGUUUAAUUCGAUGCAACGCGAAGGACCUUACCUAGGCUUGAAAAGCUUAUGACCGGCUGUGAAAGCAGCUUUCCCGCAAGGGCAUAAGUACAGGUGCUGCAUGGCUGUCGUCAGCUCGUGCCGUGAGGUGUUGGGUUAAGUCCCGCAACGAGCGCAACCCUUACCAUUAGUUGCCACCGGAGCAAUCCGAGCACUCUAAUGGAACUGCCUACGCAAGUAGUGAGGAAGGUGAGGAUGACGUCAAGUCCGCAUGGCCCUUACGCCUAGGGCUACACACGUGCUACAAUGGCCGCCACAACGGGCAGCAAAAUCGCGAGAUGGAGCGAAUCCCUAAAAAGCGG
This 505-nucleotide ribosomal RNA is filed under the name uncultured bacterium. RNAcentral describes it as "bacterial SSU rRNA". It matches the Rfam family "Bacterial small subunit ribosomal RNA", at positions 772 to 1285 of the family's 1533-position model. The record is from RNAcentral.